Molecule: non-coding RNA, 443 nt
Organism: Ictidomys tridecemlineatus (thirteen-lined ground squirrel)
Lineage: Eukaryota; Metazoa; Chordata; Mammalia; Rodentia; Sciuridae
Source: RefSeq, a predicted model, not a curated record
AUAUAUACACAAUGGAAUAUUACUCUGCCAUGAAGAAGAAUGAAAUUAUGGCAUUUGCUGGUAUCACCAGGGAUGCUGAAAUCCUUAUGUGUACACAUCAUUGCAUUGAAUUGAAUUUGAACAUUGUGUGUCCAACAACUUUGGAAUGUCCUGUUUUGGGAUUACCUUCAGAAUUUAUGUGUGAUAUUUUUGUUUUCCUCAGUAAUGGAAAAAUCUUAAUCCUUAUAGAUGUGUUUGACUUUUGGAAACAGUCAAGUAUAAUUUGGAACAUAGUUUGAUGGAAUAAAGUAUGUAAUCAUAAAGAUAUUUUUGAUAAGAGGAACAUAGGAAAAUUAAUGAUUUUUUUAGAGCUUAUAAACUAAAAAUAGUGAUAACAAGACAUCCUAAAAUUAUUUCUGGGCAAUAUAUUGAAUGGAAUAAAAGUAUAAUUCCUACAAAAUCUA